GAUGAACGCUGGCGGCGUGCCUAAUACAUGCAAGUCGAGCGAACGGACGAGAAGCUUGCUUCUCUGAUGUUAGCGGCGGACGGGUGAGUAACACGUGGAUAACCUACCUAUAAGACUGGGAUAACUUCGGGAAACCGGAGCUAAUACCGGAUAAUAUUUUGAACCGCAUGGUUCAAAAGUGAAAGACGGUCUUGCUUUCACUUAUAGAUGGAUCCGCGCUGCAUUAGCUAGUUGGUAAGGUAACGGCUUACCAAGGCAACGAUGCAUAGCCGACCUGAGCGGGUGAUCCGCCACACUGGCACUGAGGCACGGUCCAGACUCCUACGGGAGGACGCAGUAGGGAAUCUUCCGCGAUGGACGAAAGCCUGACGGAGCAACGCCGCGUGAGUGAUGAAGGUCUUCGGAUCGUAAAACUCUGUUAUUAGGGAAGAACAUAUGUGUAAGUAACUGUGCACAUCUUGACGGUACCUAAUCAGAAAGCCACGGCUAACUACGUG
RNAcentral lists this ribosomal RNA (497 nucleotides) under uncultured bacterium. RNAcentral's name for it is "partial 16S ribosomal RNA". It matches the Rfam family "Bacterial small subunit ribosomal RNA", at positions 28 to 507 of the family's 1533-position model. The record is from RNAcentral.